CGGUAAAAAAGAAGAGAAUGAUCUCUUUCUCUGAAAAUAACCUAGGCACACACAUAUACAAAAGGAAAAAUUGAACAGCAACCUUUAGCUGAGAUUGAGUAUUUAUUAAGUGUAUGUAGAACUUGUGUACAUAUGAAAGAGUGACGAAUUGGGUGUAGGAAUUACUUUUGUUGGAUACACAAUGCUAGAAAGAUGCGUACAGGGGCAUGUCAUCCGAUAACAUCAAGGGGUUGGCUUUUGCUUUAUUAUCAAGCAUAUUCUUCGGUGGUUUGAAACGACAACAGACAUGAAAAAUUAUGAUAUUUGGACAGAAAAAAACGGGAGAUUUGCUUCUUGUCCAUUGUAUUUUCUUUUUCGAAGUUGAGGUCUAAUUGAAAUCGCGUUUGGUUUUCGAGCUUUCCGGUAUCGAUUCGAGGUUCCGGUUUGUUAGUUGCGGUGUUUCAGUCCAAGGAUUGUUGCUUUGUUUAGCCCAAUUGACUUGCCAUUUUCAGCUUUAUUCAUCAAUAAAAGGUCCAUUUCUCAAAUCUUCAUUCUCAUUUCAUUUUGUUAUGAUAGCUUGGUGCAAAUGUUGGUUGAUUUGGGAUUUUACAUUGUUUGAGUAGUAUGUCUUAGUUUUCAUUUAAAUUGUUUUAAUUAGUUUUAUUUUGAUUGUGAUGUAUGUAGUCUUGGUUCUUGAAUAAAUGCUUUUAAUUGGGUAGUUGGAAAAAUUGGAGUUGUUUCUUUCUUGGGAAGGAAUUGGAAUGUGCCAUAAGGUGGAUUUUGAACCAUAAGGAAUCUGAAUAAGUCAUGUUAGCUAUCAUAUUUACUCCCCAAUAAUAUCUUGUUCAUAAAUUUGGCAUCAAUAAUUCAAACACGCUAGUUGCUUUAGGCGCAAUUAAUAAAAUCAUCGUGACUACGGGUACAAUUCCCGUGACGUAGUUGUGAUAUAUGAUUUCAAAUCCGGGGGUACAUUUCAUGUGGUCCGAUUUUUAAUUUUCUAACAAGGUUAAAUAGAUCGUGUCGUGACUCACGGGUGCAUUUCAUGUAGCGUAGCUUACGAUAUGUUUUAAAUAACCUUGAAUUAAUUCUUUAAAUAAAUAAAAGCGGUUUUUAAAGUUAAAAAUGCGCAUAGGCUUAAAAGUAUUUUAAAAUCAAAUAAAUAGACCAAUAAUAAUAGUUGAGUGACCGUGCUAAAACCACGGAACUCGGGAAUGCCUAAGACCUUCUCCCGGGUUAACAGAAUUCCUUACCCGAAUUUCUAUGUUCGCAGACCGUAAAUAGAGUCAAUCUUCAUCGAUUCGGAAUUUAAAAUUGGUGACUUGGGACACCAUAAAUUAUUCCAUGUGGCGACUCUGAAUUUUAAAUAAAAAUAAUCUUGUUUCAAUUGUCACCUAAAUUGGAAAAAACUCUCUUAUAUCCCUUCCAGGGGUAGAAAAAGGAGGUGUGACAGCUCUGGUGACUCUCCUGGGGACAAGAACCCAAAAUCUUUGGUUCAGGAUUCAAGAAUUCGAGCUUAGAAUAAUUAUUAUAUUUGGCUUUAUUUAUUAUCUGAUUUUAUUUACAUGUUCGCUUUGAUAUUGAUUGAACUGCGUAUAAAAACUGUUACGAAACCCUCUUCUCUCUAAAUCUUCUAAAUCAUUUGAGAAUGGUGCACUUCGUGUAGAUUCUCUUCUGUUAGAGUCAUAUCCCAAUUUUAGAAUGAGGUUCGGACAAGUUGCAAAGCCGGCUUCUGUAUUCCUGGUACGCUGCCCCCCCCCCCCCCCCCGGCUCGAGCUGCCCACUCGGGUAAGCCAGGUCUAUAACAAAUAAACCCAGGUUUUAAUUCCUAGAAUAACAUAGCCUCAUGCCGGAUCCCUAGUAGGAACGCUUGUUUGAAUCAUGUGCAUUUGACUUUGGGGACUCAAUAUAGGGUUUGGGUCCGUCUAGGACAGGUGUGCCCAAAAAUAAAAGACUAUCAUGAUGCAUCCUAUGUGCUACAUGUUACAUUUUUCAAGGGUAAAAGGGUCAUUUUUCGGACCAAUGAUUGCUGAGGGCAAACGAAAAAAGAAAAAAAAAAAGAGGGUGAAGUGUGAAAAAUAAAGCAAGUAGAGCCCGAUUAUGUUUUCUGUCACAUUUUGUUAAGAAACAAAAGCAUGAAAAAAUUCAAAAAGAAAAAGAUUUUGCACUAUUUCAUCAUUUUCCGAAAAUCAAAAAAUCAAAAAGAAGGGAAAAAAUCCAAAAAGAGUUUACAUGUUUCAUCAUUUUUCAAAAAAGACAAAAUUUUUUUUUUCUAAUUUAGUUGUUUUUUUAAUUCUUGCCUGUAUCCAAUCGGCCCGAACUACGCAUACCUGAUUCUCGUCUUUCGAGGCAUGAUACGUAGGCAACUCACAUAGGGUUCGGUCUUCCUAGUAAAUCUUAGGUUCUUGGCUUAGCGGGGUCUUAGCCAAAAUUUGCAUUUCUAGCCACCUUUUUGCCACAUAAGCCUUUUUGCAAAAAUAACCCCAAUCACAUCUUGCAUUUGUCCAACAGGAAGGGUUAUUGUCUCACAUAGCGUUCUAGGUCUUUAACUUUAUUUUGUCUUAAUUUUCUCCUACAGGUGUGGAUUUACUUACCGGAGUUUGAGCAUGACAGAGCCCUAGGACCAUCUAGUCAGGAUCACCCAUUCAGGAGUGGAUUAAAAGUAGAUUUAUUUUUCUUUUUUUUUGUUUUGAGUCUAUUUUUAUGUCAUUUUUUACCUUUUUGUUUUGUACAGUAAUGUCGAGUCUUUUGGGUGAUGUUAGAGUUUGUCAUAGUCUAGUUAUGUUUGCCGAGUCUUUUGUUAUUGCAUUUCUUAUUUUGUAUUUGG
This 2803-nucleotide long non-coding RNA is filed under the name Nicotiana tabacum (common tobacco). Its description in RNAcentral is "long non-coding RNA (NTAB_LNC018252)". The record is from RNAcentral. Lineage: Eukaryota; Viridiplantae; Streptophyta; Magnoliopsida; Solanales; Solanaceae.